RNAcentral lists this ribosomal RNA (1809 nucleotides) under human gut metagenome. Its description in RNAcentral is "bacterial LSU rRNA". It matches the Rfam family "Bacterial large subunit ribosomal RNA", at positions 1098 to 2925 of the family's 2925-position model. The record is from RNAcentral.
AGGUUGGCUCAGAAGCAGCCAUCCUUUAAAGAGUGCGUAACAGCUCACUAGUCGAAUGACUCUGCGCCGAUAAUUUACCGGGGCUAAGCAUACUACCGAAGCUAUGGAUCCCAAGGGAUGGUAGGGGAGCGUUCCAUGAACGGAGAAGUACGACCGAAAGGACGUGUGGAGAUCAUGGAAGAGAGAAUGCCGGUGUGAGUAGCGGAACGUGGGUGAGAAUCCCACGCACCGAAAACCCAAGGUUUCCAGAGGAAGGUUCGUCCGCUCUGGGUAAGUCGGGACCUAAGGCGAGGCCGAAAGGCGUAGUCGAUGGACAACAGGUAGAGAUUCCUGUACCCGUAUAUAUGUGAAGGAAUGACGGAGAGAGGAAGCUGCAGCCAGCGGCUGGAAGAGCUGGUGCAAGCGAGAUAUCGGGAUGGCAGGCAAAUCCACCAUCCGAAACGAGAAGGCGUGAAGCGUACGGAAAGCUACGGCGAGUACGGAAGGCAGUGGAGGAACUUCCAAGAAAAGUUUCUAACGUUAAGUAUAUAUGGCCCGUACCGAAAAUGGACACACAUGGGUGAGGAGAGAAUCCUAAGGUGAGCGAGAGAACUAUAGCUAAGGAACUCUGCAAAAUGACUCCGUAACUUAGGGAGAAGGAGUGCUCAUAGAGAUAUGAGCCGCAGUGAAACGGCCCAAGCGACUGUUUACCAAAAACACAGCUCUCUGCUAAGCCGCAAGGCGAAGUAUAGGGGGUGACGCCUGCCCGGUGCUGGAAGGUUAAGGGGAGGGGUUAACGCAAGUGAAGCCCUGAACUGAAGCCCCAGUAAACGGCGGCCGUAACUAUAACGGUCCUAAGGUAGCGAAAUUCCUUGUCAGGUAAGUUCUGACCCGCACGAAAGGCGUAACGAUUUGGGCGCUGUCUCAGCUGUAGACUCGGUGAAGUCUUAGUACCUGUGAAGAUGCAGGUUACCCGCGACUAGACGGAAAGACCCCAUGGAGCUUCACUGCAGGUUGAUAUUGGGAUUUGAUGCAGCAUGUACAGGAUAGGUAGGAGGCAAAGAGAUGGAUACGCCAGUAUUCAAGGAGCCGCUGUUGGGAUACUACCCCUGUUGUAUUGGAUUUCUAACCGGACGACGUAGAGCCGUUGACGGGACAGUGUCAGUCGGGCAGUUUGACUGGGGCGGUCGCCUCCCAAAGAGUAACGGAGGCGCCCAAAGAUACCCUCAGCUUGGAUGGAAACCAAGCGCAGAGUGCAAAGGCAAAAGGGUGUUUGACUGCGAGACCCACAAGUCGAGCAGGGACGAAAGUCGGGCUUAGUGAUCCGGCGGUGCUGAAUGGAAAGGCCGUCGCUCAACGGAUAAAAGCUACCCUGGGGAUAACAGGCUGAUCUCCCCCAAGAGUUCACAUCGACGGGGAGGUUUGGCACCUCGAUGUCGGCUCAUCGCAUCCUGGAGCUGAAUUCGGUUCCAAGGGUUGGGCUGUUCGCCCAUUAAAGCGGUACGCGAGCUGGGUUCAGAACGUCGUGAGACAGUUCGGUCCCUAUCUGUCGUGGGCGCAGGAAAUUUGAGAAGAGCUGUCCUCAGUACGAGAGGACCGGGAUGGACGCAUCAAUGGUGGACCAGUUGUCACGCCAGUGGCAUAGCUGGGUAGCUAAAUGCGGAAGGGAUAAACGCUGAAGGCAUCUAAGUGUGAAACCCACUUCAAGAUGAGAUUUCCCAUUGCGCAAGCAAGUAAGACCCCUUAAAGACGAUAAGGUAGAUAGGUCAGGAGUGUAAGCAUGGUGACAUGUUAAGCGGACUGAUACUAAUAGGUCGAGGGCUUGACCGA